This 565-nucleotide long non-coding RNA is filed under the name Parus major (Great Tit). Its description in RNAcentral is "lncRNA (ENSPMJG00000005595.1)". Lineage: Eukaryota; Metazoa; Chordata; Aves; Passeriformes; Paridae. The record is from RNAcentral.
GGAAAGGAUCAGGUAUUCAGCUGAUUUCUGCUAAAUUAGGGAAAGUCAAGCUAGUUUCCUUCAGCCAAGAAUCUGACCUGGUGUCUCUUUGUUUGGGAUUACACGCAUUUUUCUGACAGGCAGACAUGUAGCUUGAUUUAACAACUUCUCAUGCUGCUUCUCUCCUUUCUAUAUUUGUACUAAACAUCAGUUGAAUCCUUUGAAUAUUCAUAUUGAGUUUACAUGUCCUUACUUUUCACAUUCAGGUUUUGAAUAAUUAUAUUCUGAGAACUUCAUCAGAGGCAGCAAAAUAAUUUGCAAAUCUGAGGAGCCUUGUGUACUCUCUGUUACCUUGAGGCCAUAGUACUUCAGCUCAUAUUUUCUGAAGCUUUGCUGCUGGCAGAAGGAACUGUGUGAGGAAGACAGAACAACCAGAAAAUUACAACUUCCAAGAGACACUGUACAAAGACACUGUUUUCUCCUUUUCACUGUGGUGGAGCAAAACAUCGUGUGUUGCACAGUGACAUCUCCUGCUCUGCCCUGCUCUGCAAAACUCUCUACUCUGUCCAGCUGGGGCCCAAAGAAA